GAACGCUGGCGGCGUGCCUAAUACAUGCAAGUCGAACGAGUUCUCGUUGAUGAUCGGUGCUUGCACCGAGAUUCAACAUGGAACGAGUGGCGGACGGGUGAGUAACACGUGGGUAACCUGCCCUUAAGUGGGGGAUAACAUUUGGAAACAGAUGCUAAUACCGCAUAGAUCCAAGAACCGCAUGGUUCUUGGCUGAAAGAUGGCGUAAGCUAUCGCUUUUGGAUGGACCCGCGGCGUAUUAGCUAGUUGGUGAGGUAAUGGCUCACCAAGGCGAUGAUACGUAGCCGAACUGAGAGGUUGAUCGGCCACAUUGGGACUGAGACACGGCCCAAACUCCUACGGGAGGCAGCAGUAGGGAAUCUUCCACAAUGGACGCAAGUCUGAUGGAGCAACGCCGCGUGAGUGAAGAAGGCUUUCGGGUCGUAAAACUCUGUUGUUGGAGAAGAAUGGUCGGCAGAGUAACUGUUGUCGGCGUGACGGUAUCCAACCAGAAAGCCACGGCUAACUACGUGCCAGCAGCCGCGGUAAUACGUAGGUGGCAAGCGUUAUCCGGAUUUAUUGGGCGUAAAGCGAGCGCAGGCGGUUUUUUAAGUCUGAUGUGAAAGCCCUCGGCUUAACCGAGGAAGCGCAUCGGAAACUGGGAAACUUGAGUGCAGAAGAGGACAGUGGAACUCCAUGUGUAGCGGUGAAAUGCGUAGAUAUAUGGAAGAACACCAGUGGCGAAGGCGGCUGUCUGGUCUGUAACUGACGCUGAGGCUCGAAAGCAUGGGUAGCGAACAGGAUUAGAUACCCUGGUAGUCCAUGCCGUAAACGAUGAAUGCUAGGUGUUGGAGGGUUUCCGCCCUUCAGUGCCGCAGCUAACGCAUUAAGCAUUCCGCCUGGGGAGUACGACCGCAAGGUUGAAACUCAAAGGAAUUGACGGGGGCCCGCACAAGCGGUGGAGCAUGUGGUUUAAUUCGAAGCAACGCGAAGAACCUUACCAGGUCUUGACAUCUUUUGAUCACCUGAGAGAUCAGGUUUCCCCUUCGGGGGCAAAAUGACAGGUGGUGCAUGGUUGUCGUCAGCUCGUGUCGUGAGAUGUUGGGUUAAGUCCCGCAACGAGCGCAACCCUUAUGACUAGUUGCCAGCAUUUAGUUGGGCACUCUAGUAAGACUGCCGGUGACAAACCGGAGGAAGGUGGGGAUGACGUCAAAUCAUCAUGCCCCUUAUGACCUGGGCUACACACGUGCUACAAUGGAUGGUACAACGAGUUGCGAGACCGCGAGGUCAAGCUAAUCUCUUAAAGCCAUUCUCAGUUCGGACUGUAGGCUGCAACUCGCCUACACGAAGUCGGAAUCGCUAGUAAUCGCGGAUCAGCACGCCGCGGUGAAUACGUUCCCGGGCCUUGUACACACCGCCCGUCACACCAUGAGAGUUUGUAACACCCGAAGCCGGUGGCGUAACCCUUUUAGGGAGCGAGCCGUCUAAGGUGGGACAAAUGAUUAGGGUGAAGUCGUAACAAGGUAGCCGUAGCCC
Molecule: ribosomal RNA, 1515 nt
Filed under: Lacticaseibacillus paracasei
Lineage: Bacteria; Bacillati; Bacillota; Bacilli; Lactobacillales; Lactobacillaceae
Description: bacterial SSU rRNA
Rfam family: Bacterial small subunit ribosomal RNA
Source: RNAcentral